GGCGUGAGCCAUCAGGCCGAGCAUUCAUACUUACUUUUGAAUAAUGAGUUUCGGAAACUAUAGAGAUUUAGCUACAAAGUUAAUUCUCCCUCAACACUUUACAAAAUAUUGCACCAAUACCUUCAAUUGUUCGUUGUUGAUUAUAAGGAAUCUGUCGUGACACGUACUUCAGAAUUCACAAGGCAACAGGAAAAAAAAAGGUUCAUGAGGGAAGAAAACCAAGUGAAUAACCCAGGAAAGUUGGUGAACUGUGACAUGUGUUGGACUCAUGUGAACCAUGAAUAUGUAUUACAGGGCUAGUAAAUCAAACCCCCAAAAACUUUCUCCACCGAACUUCACCUGUAACCUCUACCAUUUAAAGGAAUUUCCAUUUCUGUGAGGUUCCCAAGAUUUGCUAAACCUACCAGCCUGAUUCUCUCUCUGCAUCAUGUGGCUGCUGCAGGAAACUGGUGAGGGAUGGUGUCGACAAUUCGAGACUGUUUUUUCCUACCCUCUUUAGUGCCUCUUUCCCUGAUGUGAUGUUAAAACCAGCUGAAAUUGUGGAGCAGAAAUUGUGGAGAAGAUAAAAGCCAUGUCCCCUAUGCCAUGUUUAAAUUACCUCGUCC
RNAcentral lists this long non-coding RNA (605 nucleotides) under Homo sapiens (human). Its description in RNAcentral is "HSALNT0315209". Lineage: Eukaryota; Metazoa; Chordata; Mammalia; Primates; Hominidae. The record is from RNAcentral.